RNAcentral lists this small nuclear RNA (62 nucleotides) under Dasypus novemcinctus (nine-banded armadillo). RNAcentral describes it as "U7 small nuclear RNA (ENSDNOG00000027293.1)". It matches the Rfam family "U7 small nuclear RNA". From Rfam's summary of the family: Animal histone pre-mRNAs are spliced by a different mechanism than nuclear pre-mRNAs and self-splicing introns. This processing involves the U7 snRNP, which contains only one RNA species: U7. Lineage: Eukaryota; Metazoa; Chordata; Mammalia; Cingulata; Dasypodidae. The record is from RNAcentral.
GAGUGCUACAGCUUUUUUAGAAUCUAUCUAGUAGUUCUUCUGACUUUAGCCGGAAGAUCCUU